GUAGAUCAAGUUCACCAUUUUCUCAUAAGCCCCAAACGAUACAAUACAAAUCUCAGAACUGGUUAAGAUCAGCUGGCAGUGAACAAAAUGAUCACUCUGCUGACAUCACAAUGACUGUUCUUUUGCAUAGCUGAUGACCCUGCCUGGUAUACAGGGCUGCUGAGAAUGUAUCAAUUAGCUCAGAUGCUACUGACUUGACAAGAAACCCUUAUCAUAAGCAGGAUGACAAGGUAUAUUCAAGAAGGUGCUGAGAGAGAAGUUUUUCCAUCAGCCUCAUCUGAAUGAGACAUACUUCCCCAGAGAAAUGCUUAUUUUUCAGCAUGUCAGCUUCCAUCUCAACAGACGAAGAGGUAAAAACUGGAGUCAUAUUGAGUAGGUCUGAAAUUGUCUACCGUGCUAAGAUCGUGUUCAGUCUGUCAUCUACUUUCCUCAAGAAGAAUCACCAGCCGUGGAGAAAUAGGAAGCUAGAGAUCAGGGGAAGCUGAGAUUCAGAAGCUCUAAGCAAAGGCAAUGGCUCCGAUGACUUAAUCGGCUGACGUGAAGUAGAUAAGAUUAUAUUUGUACUGCAGCAGGGAAUGGUCGAGGUUUAAUUGUGUUGGUAAACAGAGCACAGUGGCUGCCUUGGAAUCUCUGCAGAUGUCUCAGAAUUAUUCAGCAGCAAUUUGGAACGUGACUCCUACAUCUUUCACUGAAAUGAAAAUUGCUUCAUGGCAGGGCAGAAGCCUUGGUGCUGGAACUGGAGAUGCAGUAUUACCUUAAUACCCCAAAGAAUCUGUCACUUAUCCUGGAGGAAGAAGACUGGGCAAAUUUCUGCGAGAUGAACUGCGAUCUCCUCCAUGCCAGGUGUCCGUGUUUUCUGAGAGAGAUUGCUCAUUGCUAAGUAUCAAGAAAUCCUCUUUGCUAGUCCUCAGGAACCCCAGGAGGCAGUAGGCAAGGCUGCAAGUAGGCAGGUCACUGAGAAAGAACUUGCAUUUGGAUAGUGGAAUUCAGGGAUGUUUUCGGAAGCAGCAAGAUUUCUGUUGGAUCCAAGGGAUUAUUCACUGGGGACUGAAAUAAAAACAUUUCUCUCACUGUGGGAAAAUCCUGAACAACAUUUCAGACUCUCAGGAUGAAAAAAUAUAUUGGCAUUGCAGCUAGAAUGGAGGUGUUUGCCACAACAGCCUCUCUGCCCCCAAGGGAUUAAGCUUUGGUUAGUUUCACCAUGGUCGUGAUGAAGAACAGCUCUGAUGUUCUGAUGUUGAAAGCAUCAAAGGCUGAUCCCCUCAGCUGAGCAGUGACACACAGUCACUUGGCAGCCAGGCUUCCGGAGCUCCCACCCCCAGCAUCCAAAGCCCAGACCCUCUGAAUCGACCCUGCGUUAUUAGUGGCCAAUAUCCCACUCGCUAGACCGUGGCUACCUGGGCUAUUCCUUAGCUUGCAUUUAUCCCUCUUCCUCCCUGUCUGUCUACGAAGCCACCCUCUGACCCCUACACCUCUGACAGGGACACAGACUUGUCCUUUCCUAAGCCCCUCUCUGCACCAGCUGCAAAGUUCAAAGCCUGUGGAAGGCGAGUCUCAAGAAAUACACAUCACAUCCAUUUCCAGAAGGCUGGAAAACAUGGUUUCCAGAAAGUGUUUUUUUCAGCAGCUUCAUCUUUUUUUUUUGAUUGCAAAAGCGAUCUGUGUUCACUGUUGACAUUUCAACAACUCAGAAGGAUAUAAAGGAGAAAGCAGAGAUUGCUACAGAGCCAUUCCUGGAGAGAUUCCCUCAGUUAAUAUUCUACUGGUGAACGUAUGCCUAGAUAUCCAAGUAGCUUAACACUCCACCUCGCUUGGACCCCACUCUGAAUGUGGCCCUGUCACCUGCUCUCCCCUCUCCAGGGGGAUCGUGGUCACCUUUCCCACUUAGAGACUUCUUAAAGCAUCUCUCCGAAUUAAACAUAAAUUCUGAACCUCUUCCAAAUGCUUUCCUUAAAACACAAGAGCUACACACGGGUGACAGUACAGUGUUUGAUUCAAACUCUGCUUUUAAGCUAAAUUGAACACUAAAAAGAUGGCUGAGAACCAACUUCGGACAGCCACAAGCAGCUUUGGGAGAUAAGAACCUUUCUUUGCGAUUUGGAUAAAGCAAAAGCAUGAUCUCUUUGCCUCCUUUGUUUUUAGAAAUUAAUAGAGCUUUUCCAACAGACCGCCCCUUGCCACAAAUAGUGAACAGUCAAAUCACGGCUUUUAUUCCCAGCUCACUACGUCAAGUAAAUAGAAGCUUACAGGAUAGACCAGGGAACGAUAAGCAAUUCUCACUGCAGCGAAUUCUUAAUAUAUAAAUUCAUCCAGCAGCAGUUUAGUAUCUACUGGCAAAACCAGAAACAAUGGGGAACAGGCAGGCCUGGCUCUGACGAGGUCAACCAUCAAGGUUAUCUAUAUUCAAUUACUGGUAUCUACAAACUUGCAUAGCUGUCAGCUGGUCAGGGCCCAAAUGAAAACUCACCAUGCACUCAGAAAGCAAAUAUAGUUUCCGAGGAGAGCCUCAAAUUAGCUCUGUGAAUGACUUGGCUUCAAACGCACACACAAGCCAUCAGCCUUUGGGGACGUUUCUGCCGGCAGCGCCUCAAUGUCUAAAUUUGGGCAUCAUCUUAUAAAUCUCUGUUCCUGAAGUAGGAAAGGACUGGAAUUGCUCCUUAACCCUUGGCGACGAUAAAUUAUAUCACUUAACAAUAGAUAAACUUCAGACACUUUUCCUGUACUGCGGACCUAUUGUG
Molecule: long non-coding RNA, 2738 nt
Organism: Pongo pygmaeus (Bornean orangutan)
Lineage: Eukaryota; Metazoa; Chordata; Mammalia; Primates; Hominidae
Exons: 3
Source: RefSeq, a predicted model, not a curated record